GGGGCUGUAGCUCAGCUGGGAGAGCGCUGCAAUCGCACUGCAGCGGUCAGGGGUUCGAUCCCCCUCAGCUCCA
Molecule: transfer RNA, 73 nt
Filed under: Gemmatimonadota bacterium
Lineage: Bacteria; Pseudomonadati; Gemmatimonadota
Description: Gemmatimonadetes bacterium (freshwater metagenome) tRNA-Ala
Rfam family: tRNA
About the family: Transfer RNA (tRNA) molecules are approximately 80 nucleotides in length. Their secondary structure includes four short double-helical elements and three loops (D, anti-codon, and T loops).
Source: RNAcentral